RNAcentral lists this ribosomal RNA (16 nucleotides) under uncultured Trebouxia photobiont. RNAcentral describes it as "partial 26S ribosomal RNA". Lineage: Eukaryota; Viridiplantae; Chlorophyta; Trebouxiophyceae; Trebouxiales; Trebouxiaceae. The record is from RNAcentral.
CGACCUGAGUCAGCAG